RNAcentral lists this long non-coding RNA (758 nucleotides) under Anas platyrhynchos platyrhynchos (common mallard). RNAcentral describes it as "lncRNA (ENSAPLG00000017705.1)". The record is from RNAcentral. Lineage: Eukaryota; Metazoa; Chordata; Aves; Anseriformes; Anatidae.
UCAUAUGAUUUAGAGCUUGGAUAACCAGACUAAUUCCUGGUGACAGGUAUGAACUUUUAUCUUAUAGCAGUGCUAUGUCAUAUGGCUGUGACUACAACGGUACUUACCACUGUAACAUCCUUUGCUGGUCGAAGAGCAGAAUUGAGUACCCAGUUCCAGAACCUGAAGCUACUGCAGCUGCAUCUGCAGGAUGGUCCACUUCUGCUACUACCAUACCUGUGCAGUACUUGGAUACCCAGUACAAGAAAGAUGGACCUUUUCAAUUAGAAGCUUAUGUUCUUCAAGCCUGCAUAUCAGAAAAGAACUUCAGAUGAGGCUUCUAGGAGAGGACAAAAAAAAGGAAGAUAAGGUUUAUGAAGAACUGUUUUGAUUAAAAAUGAAAUCUUCAAAAGGAAAUUGAAACAAAAAAAAAAAGAUUGGAUGCAUUUACAUUUUGGCACUGGCUCAUAUGAAUUAUACUGUCAGAAAAGAAAUUAAUAAUGGUAAGAAUUUAAAAUAUAAUGGUUUAAAGUGCUUAGUUAAAAAACAUCAUUAAGGCACCUCCUGUGAUGAACACCUGCUAGAGACUCUGCACAGUGCAUUUCUGAACACUUGAGUUUAGAAACAUUGUUUUUACACUAAUUAACAAACUUUGGUCUGGGGUAGCAGGUGUGAAAUUGCUACCAUUUGAGAUUUUCAGCUGUGUUUUCUUAAACGAAUAAUAUACUACUUAACAGAGAAUGAAAAUAAAUACGGUUUAAGAAAUACUUGUUUCUCCA